CUCAAUCUGUUGACCCUCCCCUCUGAAGGCUCUUAGGGCCAGCGGGCCCAGGAGCUCCUAGUCAUGGGAUUUCAUGGACCUAUCACUUUUUAAAAGUUAGGUCUGCUCACUCUGUGUCAUCAAGGACAGACCCAAUGGCCCUAAUACGAACCCACUGCCAUUUGUUAUCUCCAAGCAGCAGAGCUCUCAGCAUCAAGGACUUUCUAAGAAAGGACCAUGGCGAUGGCUUUGUGACCUGCCUGUGCUACAGUAACGGAACCUUUGGUCCAGAGCCUGGGAUGUUGCCUUUUGCCCACUGGAAUUCCCAUCUUGGAAGAGUAAGCACAGGGGAUUGUCCAGACAGCCAGGAGGCCAG
This 355-nucleotide long non-coding RNA is filed under the name Gorilla gorilla gorilla (western lowland gorilla). RNAcentral's name for it is "lncRNA (ENSGGOG00000044695.1)". The record is from RNAcentral. Lineage: Eukaryota; Metazoa; Chordata; Mammalia; Primates; Hominidae.